CCCUUAGAUGUUCUGGGCGGCCCGCGCACUACAAUGGCGCUUUCAGCGAGUUCCUAUGUUGAAUUUUCCUGGGUAUUCUUGGAAGCGGCGUCUUGACUUGGGAUAGAUCCUUGUAAUUGUUGGUUUUGAACGAGGAAUUCCUUGUAAUCGCGGUUGAUCAGCUCGCGUUGAAUACGUCCCUGCCCUUUGUACACACCGCCCGUCGCUCCUACCGAUGAAUCGUCCGGUGAAGUUCACAGAGUGGCGGUUCGUGGAGUUGCUCGCGAAGUGAAAUGGACCUCACGAUUUAGAGGAAGGAGAAGCCGUAACA
RNAcentral lists this ribosomal RNA (310 nucleotides) under uncultured eukaryote. RNAcentral describes it as "partial 18S ribosomal RNA". It matches the Rfam family "Eukaryotic small subunit ribosomal RNA", at positions 1470 to 1796 of the family's 1831-position model. The record is from RNAcentral.